Molecule: long non-coding RNA, 1165 nt
Filed under: Calidris pugnax (ruff)
Lineage: Eukaryota; Metazoa; Chordata; Aves; Charadriiformes; Scolopacidae
Description: lncRNA (ENSCPUG00000008866.1)
Source: RNAcentral
AUGGUGCAAAAGUACAAGCCAGUGCCAAUGAACCUGGACAGUUGGCAAAUCACGUCCUUAACUCAGGUGUGGUUUAGAGGAGAGACAGCUUGCAGAGAACUGAAGAAGAUGGAAAAGAAGUGCCUGCUGAGAGUCGUGCCAUUUGUUGGGGACAGCCAGAGGAUGUUGACUCUACUGCCUUCCCUGCAGGAGUCUUCUGUGCAUUGAUGCUCACUGCAGCUGUGUCCGAUUUCCUGAAUGGUGUGCAAGGUGACCUUCCAAAGCCUCUCUCCGCGCUGAGCUAAGGCUUUGCUGGUGCAGCAGGAGCCAAGUACAUCACUCCCCACAGCUUCUGCUCCGGACUCCUUCAUCAACACUGAGAACAGCGAUCCACCCUCCUCUGGCCUGAUAUCCAAAUCCUGGUGUGGGGAAAGAGGGGUAUCCUCCUUCAGCUUCAGAGGGAAUGAAAGUCAAACCAACAGAAAUAUGAUGGCAGCAUCCUGGUACAGGGAAUGCUUCUGGAUGUACCAAUGGAACUCAGGCAGUGUCUUCUAGUCUGAAUUCAGCUGAUGAACAAAUGUUGCUUGUUUUUGCCAGAACUUCAUCUGUUCCUCCCCACAUUUCUUCCAGUUGUUGUUGACCAUGAAGUACUGCAGUGUGUCAUCACUGUUCCCAGCUGUGAACAAACCUGCAGUGCUUCUUCCUGUUAGGUAAAUGACCCAGGGGACCUUGAGAUAAAUUAGCUGAUUAGUCCUGAAAUGUAUUCAAAAAGCCAAACUGGCUCAUUAAGAGGCUGUCAAUCAAGAGUAAGACUCACAGGAAAGAAGGCUCAAAUGAUGAAUAGACCAAUGUUGUGGUUCAGUUUCCCUUGCUGUCCAGGUGAAAAGUCUAUUUUGAGUGCCUCACAGCUAUUUUCUGGCCUACAGCUUGGGCUUUCCUUUCAUGGAAACCAGGUGAGAAGCUAAAGAAGAGGGUGCAGAAAGCUGAUGUUUCUCUGCUGUGUCAUCUCAGUUGGGCAUGGACAAGAUACAUGUAUGGGCCACAGAUGUGCUCCUGAGUUUGAAUGAAACCAAUACUCCUGGGAGAGAUCUGAAAUUGAAACUGGUUUUCAGAGACCAAGAGAAGAUGGUGUAUUAAAAAAAUAGCUGGACAGCAGGGAGCUAAUAAAUCAUGAUGACUAUUGUCA